Small nuclear RNA from Erigeron canadensis, 196 nucleotides. RefSeq annotates it as U2 spliceosomal RNA. The transcript has a single exon. NCBI's taxonomy places the organism in Eukaryota, Viridiplantae, Streptophyta, Magnoliopsida, Asterales, Asteraceae. The record is from RefSeq and is a predicted model, not a curated record.
AUACCUUUCUCGGCCUUUUGGCUAAGAUCAAGUGUAGUAUCUGUUCUUAUCAGUUUAAUAUCUGAUAUGUGAGCCAUUGGUUCACUUGAUAUUAAUCUUAUUUUUUAUGGGGGAAGGCCCGUUUCAAUAGCUUGCUCUUAGGGUCUUUGAGAGUCGCCUUGGUGUUGCACUACAACCUUGGCUUGGCUCACCUCUG